RNAcentral lists this long non-coding RNA (2252 nucleotides) under Erythranthe guttata (spotted monkey flower). RNAcentral's name for it is "long non-coding RNA (EGUT_LNC000129)". The record is from RNAcentral. Lineage: Eukaryota; Viridiplantae; Streptophyta; Magnoliopsida; Lamiales; Phrymaceae.
UUGCUCUCGAUUUCAGAAGAGAAGCACCUCUUAAACCUGGUAAUUAACGAGAUCGGGUUACUUGCACGUAUAUAUCUUAAGUAGGGAUUAAGUAUAUCUAAUUAUCGUUGCUUACACGUUGCUGCGGUAGCUGUGAUAGCUAUCAUGUCCAUGGGUGUUUGAAUUGCCAUGCCGGAGUCAACAGCCGCUCUGACCCUCGCCCUGUGGGCCCCAAGAGAUUCCGCCACUUCAGCGCACACAUUGGUUACUAGUGCAGCAGCAGAAGAGAUCACGUUGCCCAUAUCCUCGCUUGAACACUCGCUUCUGCACAUGCUGCUGCUGCUGCUGCUGAUUCCAGCGAUGGCUGCAGCAAGCUGUGUGAGCGAAAGGGCUGCGUGUAAUUCUGCUGUGUGGAGUCGUCUCUCCUCUUUCUUCUUCUCCUUUUGUGACCUAAAUAAGCUAGUGAAGGAUUUUCCCCCGAACCAUGACUUUGUGGGUUUGAAGUCCAUCUUAACUAGAUCACACUGCAGUUUUUAGAUAAAAAUGUCAUUUUUUUUUCCUUCUCGAAACUUCAGAGUGUGAACGAAUAUGUGUGAUUUAUUAUUAUUACCUUUGUGUUUUCCUGAUUUAUGGUAGGAAUGUGAGUUGCGUCUGCAGUUGUUAUGUUUUCAUCGACUUGUUCAUCAGUGUAGCUAUGCAGGAAGAGGUUCUGUGGGAGUACAUAACAUCUGAUUGUGAGUUGAGCUUUUAAAUGGACUGAUUGACCAACUUAUAAGCUCAGCGAUUAAUGACUUGUUGAGCUGAAUUUUAUAAUUCUCAAGAUCCAAGAACUAUUACCGCCUGGCUUUCUUGAUUAUCUAAAAGCUGAUUGGAAUUAAAAUAUAUCGGGGCAUGGUGGCCUCACCGUUGUUGUUUUAUGAAACGUAAAUAUGCAAGAGUUAGUAAUCUACGAAAUGUUAUAUGAAAUGCUUGUUUGAGUAGCAUUUUUUUAAGUGAUUUUCUUUAUUGCGAUUGACAAACUGCACAAAGUGGAAGUUUCUCACGUUGGAUGAAAACGUUUGCAGGAAAUCAGCAGGGCUCCAAGAUCUACUGAGGAACUCCAUAGCUCUGUUAGGGCUCUUCGGGAUCUCCAUUUGCCUGUAAGAAGGAAUAUUCUUUUUUUUCUCACCAAGCACCUUCGGUUUCUGUUUAAAAAAAAAAGUUCUCCGGUUUUUUAAUAUUUCAAAGAACAAUAAGUUAGGUAUUAUAAACAUGCUGUGUCAAUUAUUUAAAAACUCACCGUAAAUGAAAGAUUCUCUACUUGUAUCUCUCCCUGCAACGACUCCAUCCAACUUGUCCUGGUUAAGAUCCUGAAAGUAGAAGGUAAUUGAAUCUCGUUUCUCGUUUUUCGUUUAUAUGAGAGGAAUUAGAAUUCUGAUUUGGAAAGAUAUGCAAUGGAACUAAAAUGGCCCAAAAGGAGACAUAAGACAAAAAACUUACCCCAACAAGAAGGUCUUCGGUAUACCUGAAUCUGAAAGUGGUACUAGUUCUACUAUGGAAUUACGAGAACUUACUAUAAAUAGAAGAAUAAUGAAUUAAUUAAUUACGUAGCAGUUUUUAUAUAAGAUUAACACCUUCCUAGUUCAGAAAUGUUGACAUCGAGAAAUGCAUUAACAAUUCACGUAAUAUGAUCGUAUUAUAUUAUUGGAAAAAUUUAAAACUUUUCAAAAGCCGGUCCCCGUUUCUCGACGAGGAUGCUGGGGCUGCUCCCAUGCUUAAACAAAUAGUAGAUUUAGAUUAAAUAAAUGGAUUAGAAAGCAAAUCUGUGUGCUUUCCACAAGGCUAUACAGAUUAUAUGUUUGGGUAUCUGCAAAUACUGUGCAGGACCACCAUUUGGAUUGAGAAUUGAUGGUUUCCUCCUUUAUUUAACUGGUUUGCAUAAUCCAAUCUUUUGCAGUUUACAUGAUAACUAAGCCAACUUGGAAUUUUUUUAAUUCCAUUGCAGCCUAGUUGGAGGGAUGUAUCAGCAGGCCGAAUGCCUUCACGUGGCUCGCAACUUGUUGUAAAGGUGUACCUUGUUUUCAUUGGACGAUUAAUAAUAAUGUUUGAAUCCGACGUGUUACCUCGUUUUCUGUUUCAAUUCUUGAUGACAUGCGAUUUGAAGCCAUGGCUAAUUUUUUUUUUCUUUUUUUUUUUUUUUUUGGGAGGUGGUAUUGUAGGUUUGCACGUAAAGGAAGCUGACGAAGUAUUCUUUCUUCUAUCGGUUAUGAUUGGUUGCUAGCGGGGACUAUCAA